AUAAGACAUGCUAGUCAAGCGCUUUCUAGCUAAUGUGAGAGCGCGGCGUACAGCUCAGUAACACGUGGCCAACCUGCCCUUGGGACGGGAACACCCCCGGGAAACUGGGGUUAGUUCCCGAUAGGUGAAGAAGUCUGGAAUGACUCUUCGCUCAAAAGACGUUUAUGUCAUGCUCAUAUUCGUCGCCCAGGGAUGGGGCCGCGACCGAUCAGGUAGUUGGUGAGGCAAUGGCUCACCAAGCCUUUUACCGGUGCGGGCCGUGAGAGCGGGAGCCCGGAGAUGGGCACUGAGACAAGGGCCCAGGCCCCACGGGGCGCAGCAGUCGCGAAAAUUUUGCAAUACACGAAAGUGUGACAGAGCUAUCCCGAGUGCCAUCCGCUGAGGAAGGCUUUUACCCAGUAUAAAUAGCUGGGAGAAUAAGGAGAGGGCAAGUCUGGUGUCAGCCGCCGCGGUAAUACCAGCUCUCCGAGUAGUGUGGACGUUUAUUGGGCCUAAAGCAUCCGUAGCUUGCUAGAUAAGUCCUCUGUUAAAUCCACCGAUUCAAUCGUUGGAUUGCGGGGGAUACUGUUUGGCUAGGGGACGGGAGAGGUCGACGGUAUUUCCGGGGUAGGGGUGAAAUCCUAUAAUCCCGGGAGGACCACCAGUGGCGAAGGCUGUCGACUAGAACGCGCCCGACGGUGAGGGAUGAAAGCUGGGGGAGCGAACCGGAUUAGAUACCCGGGUAGUCCCAGCUGUAAACGAUGCANGCUAGGNGNUUUGGGCGGCCACGAGCCGCCCUAGUGCCGCAGGGAAGCUGUUAAGCCUGCCGCCUGGGGAGUACGGCCGCAAGGCUGAAACUUAAAGGAAUUGGCGGGGGAGCACCACAAGGGGUGAAGCUUGCGGUUUAAUUGGAUUCAACGCCGGAAAUCACU
RNAcentral lists this ribosomal RNA (911 nucleotides) under uncultured crenarchaeote. RNAcentral describes it as "bacterial SSU rRNA". It matches the Rfam family "Archaeal small subunit ribosomal RNA", at positions 44 to 929 of the family's 1478-position model. Lineage: Archaea; Thermoproteati; Thermoproteota. The record is from RNAcentral.